This is a long non-coding RNA of Homarus americanus (American lobster), 773 nucleotides long. RefSeq lists it as uncharacterized. The transcript is spliced from 4 exons. Lineage: Eukaryota; Metazoa; Arthropoda; Malacostraca; Decapoda; Nephropidae. The record is from RefSeq and is a predicted model, not a curated record.
CUCCCCCAGCACCACCACCGCCACCAUCACUACCACCAGUCUCCGCCCCGACUGCCUCACAGACAGUGGUCGUCGGUCACUGUCUCGUAGCCAAUCUUAUACCGUGUGCAAUUGUUGUUGACACUUUGGCCCGAGUUAUCCAGUGAUUUAUUCCCUAUGAAAAUAUUGAUGCUUUUCUAACAGUGUGUCAGUGUGAAAUAUUAUUCAGUGGUAUUUACUCUUACACGCUUUUUGGUGUUUGAAAGAAAAGGUGAUUGCAACGCAGUCAUUGGCUGUAUAACCCUUUGUGUAUGGAAAAGAAAAGGUUAUUUUGACAUUAAUUGACAUUUUAAAAACAUUUUGUGAUUGAAACAAAUAUUAUUUCUACAGUGAUUUCCUCUUCAACGCUUUGUGAUUGAAGAGGCAUUUCAACUAUUAGCUACUAUUUAACGCUUUGUGGUGAUUGAAAAAAAAACGAACAAACAAGUUAUCUCAAACGCGUUAUUUACAAACUAUUCCCAUAUGGUGAUUGAAAAAAAGUGUUAUUUAUCACUCCCAAACCUCCUGUGAUUAAUAAACGGAACAAAAAGUGCUAUCAAGGAACUACAACAGCCACCACUUCGUCAGCACCACUUCGUCAGCACACACACACACACACGUAGGCGCCACUUACAGUUGAUGUCCGAUGGUCGUCUUCAGCUGCGAAUGUUGACCGCAGGAGAGAGAUGCAGCUGAUGGCGUAAGCUGGUGUUGAGGAUCUGCAGCAGGUGUUAAACUGGACGACAUGAAGGUAA